AGUGAACGCUGGCGGUAGGCCUAACACAUGCAAGUCGAACGGCAGCACAGUAAGAGCUUGCUCUUACGGGUGGCGAGUGGCGGACGGGUGAGGAAUACAUCGGAAUCUACUUUUUCGUGGGGGAUAACGUAGGGAAACUUACGCUAAUACCGCAUACGACCUACGGGUGAAAGCAGGGGAUCUUCGGACCUUGCGCGAUUGAAUGAGCCGAUGUCGGAUUAGCUAGUUGGCGGGGUAAAGGCCCACCAAGGCGACGAUCCGUAGCUGGUCUGAGAGGAUGAUCAGCCACACUGGAACUGAGACACGGUCCAGACUCCUACGGGAGGCAGCAGUGGGGAAUAUUGGACAAUGGGCGAAAGCCUGAUCCAGCCAUACCGCGUGGGUGAAGAAGGCCUUCGAGUUGUAAAGCCCUUUUGUUGGGAAAGAAAAGCAGCAGGUUAAUACCCCGCUGUUCUGACGGUACCCAAAGAAUAAGCACCGGCUAACUUCGUG
RNAcentral lists this ribosomal RNA (492 nucleotides) under uncultured bacterium. Its description in RNAcentral is "partial 16S ribosomal RNA". It matches the Rfam family "Bacterial small subunit ribosomal RNA", at positions 29 to 507 of the family's 1533-position model. The record is from RNAcentral.